This 1421-nucleotide long non-coding RNA is filed under the name Daphnia pulex (common water flea). RNAcentral's name for it is "uncharacterized LOC124190071, transcript variant X2". Lineage: Eukaryota; Metazoa; Arthropoda; Branchiopoda; Diplostraca; Daphniidae. The record is from RNAcentral.
GGACUUGAAGUGUCAGAGGUGUCCAAUAGAUGACAUAGGUGUUCUUGUUUAUCAUGUGAUGGUGGAUUGUUGUGUGGUUGUCAAAAGUUUUCCUAUAUUUUUCAAUUUUUACAUGAAAAUUUCCUAUGAAUUCAUAAGAAGGAACGCGAAAGGCAACUAGCCAACUACAAGUAGCCUACCAUCAAUUCUUUCAUAAAAAAUUGUCGUUCUACUGAAUGCUUCAUCCUAUUAGUACAGGUCACUAACCCCAGCGUGGACACACAUUGUUUUUCCCAACAUGUUUACACAAAGAAUGCUAUGGGAACAUAAUAGGAUACCCACAUAUAAUCAAGGCUAUGGGUAAUAAUCAUCAGGUUUAUUGCAGCAACUCGAAGAAUUCACAUGAAAAGAUGCAGGGCACAUACCAACAUGUGUUGUAUUUUUCUGAAUGUUUUACUCAAGCAGUAGAAGCAAUUAACUUUAGUUUAUUGCAUUAAUGUUGGAAUGUUUAUUGAAAUAUUUCCUUAGAUUCAACAUUACUAACUGUUUGAUGCCAAAGUAAGUUGGAACUCUAACUCAAACACUGAUUCUUUUCCAGUUUUCUCAAAAAAUUGGAAAGCUGCUGGAGUAAUCUAUCUAGUGUCCAUCCCCAUUUGAUUCAUUUUGAUUCAUUUCGUGCCAGCUGGUUGAAAGGCGUGACGAAUUCAAAUUUAGCUGCUGCGUGCUGUCUGCAAGCAAGCAAUCCAAUUGCCUGUCGCUAGGUGGCGCUAGUGUCUUCAUGGACUAAAUUCGGCCAUUUUGUCCCUUAACGCAGCCGAAGUGGGAUGCCGGUCGUGACGUUUCGCAUGUGCAAAGAUGAUUUCAAUGCCACUUUGUCAAAUCAUCUAACUCGGACUUGGGUGCCUGAACAUUUUGCCGAAAUGUCGUGCCUCGUGUGUCUUGCUGCCAGUCGUACGUCUCGUCCCAUGCCAAAGCAAAAGUCUGCUGUUGGUUUACUUGUUGCAGCGAGAUGGUGAAAGGUGUGAUGACGUCUAAUUUAACCAUUGUAUGCAGCGUGUUGUUGCAGUGUUAUCCAGAAGUAGCUGCUCAGUGUGGCAGUAUCCUGAAGCAGCCUGAAGCCUGAAGUUGCCAGUGAUAUCCGGGUUGCUGACUUGGAAAUUUUUCUGUUUUCAUUUGUGUCUUUUGCUCUGCCAGUGGUAUCCUGAGUUGCAGACUUUAAAUCUUUCUAUCUGUUCUCAUUUGUGUGUGUUUUUUUUUUUUCUCUACCACUGAUUUCCUGUGUUGGUGUUUUGAAAUAGUUUCAUCUGUCGUCUUUGGCGUUUUUACUUGUGCACAUGUGCAGUAUACGAUUGAGGCAACCUGUCCUAUGACAGGUUUGACUCGGUCGACAACUGCUAGAUUAAAUUCCGGCUUUCUGCACCAACAAAAUAAUAACGGCACAU